GCUGUUGCCUGGCACCCUGGUGCAUGCCUGCCCACGGCCGUUCCAGAAACAUGCCAAUCAGUGGGCUUAUUUUGUCAUCACGACAUCUCCCUCUGUGCAACAGCGAAAACAAACAGCUCUUCUAAGAAAGGUUGGAGCCGCAAACACUACGGGCUGAAGAGAAAAUGCUUCUUGUCUUUCCAGACUGUUAAAGAACAUGGUUCCAGUUCCCCUUAGCCUGCUUCAGAGGAUUAAUACAGUUUUGAUGAGCUGUGUCUCUCUGAAUGUAGUACAAUUGCCUACUGAAGCUGCUGACAGCACAAAACUUCAUCUGCUGGUAGAAAGUGGAGACAAAAUAUUUCGUACUUAACCUGGGAAAACAAAGAGGAACCACAAUAUUCUGCAAAGGCUGUGAAUUACCUACUAACAAAUCAGUUAUGGACAUAAUCUCAAUGACAAAUAACAGUAAUCAUUAAAAGUUUGUUUCAUAUAAUGGCUGAUAUGUUAUUAAUGAUUAACAUAAUUCCUGGAAGCAGGCAUUAUUAAUAACUGCUAAUUUCUCAAGUUUUUUGGAAAAUACAUGUUAACAGUUCUUCAAUUUUAUUUUUUCACAUUUACAUUAUUUCUAAUGCAUGUCAGUGGCCAGUGGAAUCAAUUGAAACUUGUUCUUCAUGG
Molecule: long non-coding RNA, 654 nt
Organism: Paramormyrops kingsleyae
Lineage: Eukaryota; Metazoa; Chordata; Actinopteri; Osteoglossiformes; Mormyridae
Source: RefSeq, a predicted model, not a curated record